UACGGAGGAUCCGAGCGUUAUCCGGAAUUACUGGGCGUAAAGAGUUGCGUAGGUGGCAUUGUAAGUUAAUAGUGAAAGCGUUCGGCUCAACCGAAUAUCCAUUAUUAAAACUACAAAGCUAGAGGAUGAGAGAGGUUAUUGGAAUUCCUUGUGUAGGAGUGAAAUCCGUAGAUAUAAGGAGGAACACCGAUGGCGUAGGCAGAUAACUGGCUCAUUCCUGACACUAAGGCGCGAAAGCGUGGGUAGCAAACGGG
RNAcentral lists this ribosomal RNA (254 nucleotides) under uncultured bacterium. Its description in RNAcentral is "partial 16S ribosomal RNA". It matches the Rfam family "Bacterial small subunit ribosomal RNA", at positions 524 to 776 of the family's 1533-position model. The record is from RNAcentral.